Molecule: ribosomal RNA, 514 nt
Filed under: uncultured bacterium
Lineage: Bacteria
Description: bacterial SSU rRNA
Rfam family: Bacterial small subunit ribosomal RNA
Source: RNAcentral
GAUUCUGGCUCAGGAUGAACGCUAGCUACAGGCUUAACACAUGCAAGUCGGGGGGCAGCAUGAAGUCAGCUUGCUGACUUGAUGGCGACCGGCGCACGGGUGAGUAACGCGUAUCCAACCUACCCCUUAGUAGGGCACAGCCCGUAGAAAUGCGGAUUAAUACCCUAUGUUUUCCGAGGAUGGCAUCUGACUUGGAACAAAGAUUCAUCGCUAGGGGAUGGGGAUGCGUCCGAUUAGCUUGCCGGCGGGGUAACGGCCCACCGGGGCGACGAUCGGUAGGGGUUCUGAGAGGAAGGUCCCCCACACUGGUACUGAGACACGGACCAGACUCCUACGGGAGGCAGCAGUGAGGAAUAUUGGUCAAUGGGCGCGAGCCUGAACCAGCCAAGUAGCGUGCCAGGACGACGGCCCUACGGGUUGUAAACUGCUUUUAUCAGGGGAUAAAGUGCGGGACGUGUCCCUCAUUGCAGGUACCUAAUGAAUAAGGACCGGCUAAUUCCGUGCCAGCAGCUGC